GUCCACGCCGUAAACGAUGAGUGCUAGGUGCUGCGGGUAUUGACCCCUGCGGUGCCGUAGCUAACGCGUUAAGCACUCCGCCUGGGGAGUACGGCCGCAAGGCUAAAACUCAAAGGAAUUGACGGGGGCCCGCACAAGCGGUGGAGCAUGUUGUUCAAUUCGACGCAACGCGCAGAACCUUACCUGGGUUAAAUCCACUCGAAUCUGGCAGAGAUGCCGGGGUGCCUUUCGGGGAACGAGUGAGAAGGUGCUGCAUGGCUGUCGU
This 265-nucleotide ribosomal RNA is filed under the name uncultured bacterium. RNAcentral describes it as "partial 16S ribosomal RNA". It matches the Rfam family "Bacterial small subunit ribosomal RNA", at positions 793 to 1055 of the family's 1533-position model. The record is from RNAcentral.